AGCAACAAAUGCCCUGCUUCCAGGAAAAGCCUCUAAGCCUCAGGUAACAUCAGAUCGUACCCGAAACCGACACAGGUGGUCAGGUAGAGAAUACCAAGGCGCUUGAGAGAACCCGGGUGAAGGAACUAGGCAAAAUGGUGCCGUAACUUCGGGAGAAGGCACGCUGACACGUAGGUGAAGCGGUUUACCCGUGGAGCUGAAGUCAGUCGAAGAUACCAGCUGGCUGCAACUGUUUAUUAAAAACACAGCACUGUGCAAACACGAAAGUGGACGUAUACGGUGUGACGCCUGCCCGGUGCCGGAAGGUUAAUUGAUGGGGUCAGCGCAAGCGAAGCUCCUGAUCGAAGCCCCGGUAAACGGCGGCCGUAACUAUAACGGUCCUAAGGUAGCGAAAUUCCUUGUCGGGUAAGUUCCGACCUGCACGAAUGGCGUAAUGAUGGCCAGGCUGUCUCCACCCGGGACUCAGUGAAAUUGAACUCGCUGUGAAGAUGCAGUGUACCCGCGGCAAGACGGAAAGACCCCGUGAACCUUUACUAUAGCUUGACACUGAACACUGGUCCUUGAUGUGCAGGAUAGGUGGGAGGCUUUGAAGUGUGGACGCCAGUCUGCAUGGAGCCGUCCUUGAAAUACCACCCUUUAAUGGCUGGUGUUCUAACGUAGACCCGUGAACCGGGUUGCGGACAGUGUCUGGUGGGUAGUUUGACUGGGGCGGUCUCCUCCUAAAGCGUAACGGAGGAGCACGAAGGUUGGCUAAUCCUGGUCGGACAUCAGGAGGUUAGUGCAAUGGCAUAAGCCAGCUUGACUGCGAGCGUGACGGCGCGAGCAGGUGCGAAAGCAGGUCAUAGUGAUCCGGUGGUUCUGAAUGGAAGGGCCAUCGCUCAACGGAUAAAAGGUACUCCGGGGAUAACAGGCUGAUACCGCCCAAGAGUUCAUAUCGACGGCGGUGUUUGGCACCUCGAUGUCGGCUCAUCACAUCCUGGGGCUGAAGUAGGUCCCAAGGGUAUGGCUGUUCGCCAUUUAAAGUGGUACGCGAGCUGGGUUUAGAACGUCGUGAGACAGUUCGGUCCCUAUCUGCCGUGGGCGCUGGAGAACUGAGGGGGGCUGCUCCUAGUACGAGAGGACCGGAGUGGACGCAUCACUGGUGUUCGGGUUGUCAUGCCAAUGGCACUGCCCGGUAGCUAAAUGCGGAAGAGAUAAGUGCUGAAAGCAUCUAAGCACGAAACUUGCCCCGAGAUGAGUUCUCCCUGAGACUACAAGUCUCCUGAAGGAACGUUGAAGACGACGACGUUGAUAGGCCGGGUGUGUAAGCGCAGCGAUGCGUUGAGCUAACCGGUACUAAUGAACCGUGAGGCUUAACCUUACA
RNAcentral lists this ribosomal RNA (1363 nucleotides) under Salmonella enterica. RNAcentral describes it as "partial 23S ribosomal RNA". It matches the Rfam family "Bacterial large subunit ribosomal RNA", at positions 1589 to 2925 of the family's 2925-position model. Lineage: Bacteria; Pseudomonadati; Pseudomonadota; Gammaproteobacteria; Enterobacterales; Enterobacteriaceae. The record is from RNAcentral. RNAcentral also lists the same sequence under 1 other name.